CCACAACCUCCGACAAAAUUUUCGGUGAACUGGGAUGAAGCCGGAGAGUGCGACACAUACCAGAGGAUGAAAGCAAGCCACUUGAAAGUAGCAUGUACUCUUCAACACUACCUAUACCCUCUUGGUGAGAGGAUAUCAGCAUGGAUUUUAUUGUUGGUUUGCCAAAUAUCUCUCAAAGGCAUGAUUUCAUCUGGGUCAUCGUGGAUAGGCUCACCAAGACGGCACACUCUCUCCCUGUCUGAACAAACUAUCCAACCCAGAAAUAUGCCGAGCUAUGACGGCGUCCGGAGGUCACUCGCCGUCUUUUCCGCGGUGAUACUCUAUGUAUUGAUGGCGUCCACUUUUGUAAUCAGCUUCACCUGCUCCAACUGCAGCUUCUUGACCUCCUGGACCAGGAGAUCGAUUUUCUCCUCUGUCGAUGCCAUACGAUAGGUGAGGGUCGGCGCUCUCGGUUUCUUCGCUUGCUGUGACGGUUGUGGUGGCAGGGGUGGCGGUGGUGGUGGUGUACUGGGCGACGGAGUAUGUGGCAGUAUGGUGGCGGCGGUGGUGGUGGUGGAAGUGGCCUUUGCCGGGGCUUGCAGCUUGUUUUGCGGUGGCGCCAGGUCGAAUCCGGCGGUGUAGUUGCUCCGAUUGGCUCUGGUACCGGAUGUCACGGACCACGAUGGCUGUAGGGAGGAAAAGGGGCGCCGGCGUCGCGCGCGGCAAGAGAACGGCGGCGCCGCCUCUGGAAGAACGGAGGAAAAAGGAGAUAGUUCAGUUUAGGUUUCUCGUUCGUUUCCAUGCCUGUUCGCGUC
This 794-nucleotide long non-coding RNA is filed under the name Setaria viridis. RNAcentral's name for it is "long non-coding RNA (SVIR_LNC004445)". The record is from RNAcentral. Lineage: Eukaryota; Viridiplantae; Streptophyta; Magnoliopsida; Poales; Poaceae.